GCGGUGACGAAAGACCGGUAUUCGAUGUGGAUGAGGAUUCAGAGGAUCGAAGGACUGCUGUCUGGAUUCUCGAGGGCCAGAACCCUGAGGGGCCCACGGAAGCUGAAGGUCAAAAAUCUUCGGGACCGGAAGAUGGCGUGAACAUGAGAGAAGCUGCUCCUCAAUGCCCAGCGAAGGACAUGAUCUCAGGACAAGCAGCUAAAUCAAGCACAGGAAGCUCCUCAAUGAUGCCUGGUGAUGAUUCAAGUGAUCCUUCUGAAGAUGACACAAGUAGAGAAGCAACGUCAGUGAGCAGUCUAGAUGGCAUCAGCAGUAGAACUUCAUCAGUCAGCGGCUCUGUAUGCAUAAGAUCUACUAAGAAGAGAAUGAGUAACCAGAGAGAGGUAGAGCGCAGAAACAGCCAGACAUCUGAGCUCACUGAUACAGUCCUGAGACCAAGUGAAGGCACUUUGAGAACUCGAACUGGAAGAGUUGUGAAGCCUGUCAGAAGACUUUUAGAGUCAAUGAGUCAAGUGAUUGCUGAGCCGGACAAAAGAGAGCAUCUAGCCGCCCUGAUUCAAGCCUUAUCAACUUUUGUUGAAGUGACAGUACCCCAGUGACACAGAAGCCAGAAGAUAGAUUAAGGAAAUGAGAAAUACUUUAUUAGGGGGUCAUAGGUUGUAUGUAUAUGGGCAUAUUUCUACCUGGCAAAGUCUCUUUGCUGUCCUUCUGGACGACUCUUGGUCAAGGUUACCCCUGUGGAGGAAGAAGUCUUACCUUAUGUCUUAAAGUUUGCUGAAAUCAAGAAGGGGUGAGUGUAGUAGAGUUAAAAUGGUUAUUCCAGCAAACUUCAAAUUAUUAGAAUAGUACACAACGCAGAACAGAACAAUCAGGUUGAGGGUCAGUGGCCAAAAGCCCGCGAACAGGAAUGUUCCAAGUUCAGACAGAAGGGGGGAGUCAGAUCGCCAGGAACUUUACUUUUGGUUUCUAAUUUUAAUUGUUGCGCUACUGGUGAUGCCUGUUGAUGUUAGGUAGGCAGCUACAGUAGCUGAAUGAUGUUAACAUCUUCAGGUUUUGUUUCAUUAAAUGUAUUUUAUUUUAUCUGGGUGCUUACGUCACCUACUAACACCCUGGUACUACCCAUAGAUCCCGCUCUCCUCAGUCUGAGAAAACACUGAGAGAGAAAGAACAACUUGUCAGGUGGUGCAUUGGAGACUGAUGUGUUCCUGUCCUGUCUUUUCAUAAUACUAUUGCAGAUCGACAUAAAAGCCUAAAAGACAGCCGUGGUGUCGCUCUUCAUUUCUUGGUUCUCCUGUGGUGCAUAAGAAACCCGCUACACAAACAUUGGUCAAACUGCAUCUCAAUCAUUACCCUCACCAUGGCAACAGUCAAGAGACAGAGCAGCAGCUUGCUUGUCAACAGUGGC
RNAcentral lists this long non-coding RNA (1405 nucleotides) under Salmo salar (Atlantic salmon). Its description in RNAcentral is "lncRNA (ENSSSAG00000087924.1, ENSSSAG00000116213.1)". The record is from RNAcentral. Lineage: Eukaryota; Metazoa; Chordata; Actinopteri; Salmoniformes; Salmonidae.